AUCUUGCAGCAUUUUGCAGCAUGGCUUUGUUAUAAAGCGCCACCUGUUGCAAGAGGCUCUGAGGUUGUUUUGCGCAGUUACUGUGGAUAGGCAUUACCACGCAAGUUUCGGGCAUUUUCACUUUAUCUGUAAGCUUCCUGGGAUUCUUGUUCGCUGUCUACAUCUUACUUGAGAAGAAAUAUUCUUGAGAUCACUUGGAUUGAUUCUAUAACUUAAUGGAAUUUUCAUUCAAUCAAAUUCGUUCACGCGUUAGAAUAAAAUUAAAGACUGAACAUGGCAGCUAUCUACGCAUGUUGUUGCAAGAAGAAACUUUGGGAAGGAUUGACUUCUCUUCGUCUUUUACUUCGUUUUGCGAUGGAGAUGAUAACGCACGUUUCAGUCUUGAUGGGGACGGACCAUCAUGAUUCAACGGAAAGAGUAUUUCUGGCAGUCAGAAAGGAAGAAGGUGAAUGAACGUGGGCUUCAGGUGAAGAAACAUACAGAAAAAGCUGAAAAAACUGAGAAGAUCAGAAGUUUUCCAUUGUUGGAAUGCCAGAAAUCUCUAGACAGUUUUCCUUUAAUUUAUAUUGAAAGAAACUGCAAAUUGUUGAAUUUUUAUUUGUAUAAGAACUUGUUUAUAUUUACUUAUACAUAUUUACAUUUUUUUUACUUUUAUUAUAUGUGAUUUAUACUUUUUUUUCUUAACCCGCCAAUUCACGAUCUUAGUUUUAAAAUUCUAAAUUUUAUUAAAUUCAUAAAACAUUUUUAACACCUUUCUAAAUUCCAUUUCUCUAAACAUCCAUGUGCGAAAAUCCUUUUCAAACAAUCAGAUUUCGUUUUAAACAUAGUUUAAGCGGAAGCAAGAGGAGUCGGAUAAAUACAAAUUUUCCUUCUUCUUUUGUUCAUUCUGAAGUCUACAGUAAACUUUUAAUUCAACCUUUUAAACUUUAGAUUCAACACUGAAAAGUAAAAUAUACACUUUCCCAAAUAUUUGCUCCUCAAGGACUGAACCAAUUAUUUUCGACCUGAACUUACGAUUGACUUGAACCUUCGAGCUACGAGGAGUGGAAUAACGGAGAUACCGCUUUCUUUCUUUUUAUUUGGGCUGCAAUGGACGCAAAUGUCUUUUUGAGCUAAGUUUAGUUCAGUGUAGUUAUAUUAAGUCCUGUUUUUAAAGCAACACUAGGGCUAUUUUGAGACGGACCUCGUCAUUUUGAACCGCGGUCAGAUGACGAGGACGACACCUGAGCUGGCACCCCCUCUCCACUCCACACCAGCGGGAGGACGUUUGGUCAGGACGGAGUUAAGGUGCAACAGACCCCCUUCAUGACGGUUCUUCGGUGGAAUCAGGUCUCGAACCUGCAACCCUCCGGUUCGGAAGCCGAGACCUCACCACCAGGCCACCGCGGCCCUCAAAGGUCUUGACUGAAAAACAUACAUGUUAUCUACGAUCUCUACAUAUAUUUUUUUAACAGAAUAAAGACAAGCAAUAUAAUGAGUGAUGAACUAGUAAAAUUAAUGAUUCUUUUAAUUUUAUGAUAAUUUACGUUAGAGGUAACAUUAUUUUUAUAUGUUAAUAUUUUUAGGACGCACUGAAUUGUAUAUUUCUUUCAUCCAAUUAUAUUUUUUGCUAAACUUAUCAACUCUACGUAUAAUGAAUGUUCUGUUUUGUAAAACAGAAUGAUAGACACAUAUAUAUAUAUAUUCACAUUUAAUCUUGGAAGAAAAUCUUACUUUAUGAAUUUAAAUUUUUAGAUUAAAGUCUGAAUAUUCGAUACUUUAAAUUCUUGAAUAAUUUUAAAAGAAAAAUAUGAAGAUACCUUCCAAAUUUAAAGCAUAUGAUGUUUCCUUAUUAAAGAUGAAGUAUGUACGUGUGAGUGUUUUAUCUGGAAUCCUGUUAUUUAAGUGCCUACAACUGUUUUUAUUUUGUUUUAAGAAUUAAAAUUGACAUUUUAAUGGAAACUUACAACUGAAAAUGGAAUAAUAAUACCUAAGAAAGUAUUUUUUUUUACAUGUGCAUACAUAAAGUAUAUCUAAGAAAG
Argiope bruennichi is the source of this 2021-nucleotide long non-coding RNA. RefSeq lists it as uncharacterized. NCBI's taxonomy places the organism in Eukaryota, Metazoa, Arthropoda, Arachnida, Araneae, Araneidae. The record is from RefSeq and is a predicted model, not a curated record. The transcript is spliced from 4 exons.